Long non-coding RNA from Phocoena sinus (vaquita), 2912 nucleotides. NCBI's taxonomy places the organism in Eukaryota, Metazoa, Chordata, Mammalia, Artiodactyla, Phocoenidae. The record is from Ensembl.
UGUAUGAGACCUAUUCCACUGUCAUAACUUAUAGUCUAAAGGCAAGGGUAUGGGACAAACCAAGAGAGAUGAUAAACAGAGCCCUGGCAUAUGGGAUUAAGAGUUUUCUAGCUAGAAUCUGGACCCAUACCAUGGAAAAUUGGGGGGUUCUGGGGAUCCCAAAACCAGGGUUCCAGCUUUACUGGUGACCCACUAGGAACCUGAGUGUGAGAUCCAGCUCUGGUUUGUAUCCUGGUCUUCCUAAUGAAAAGGAAGAAGAGUCAGAUCUCUGUGUGGUGAGGUCCCUUUUCUGAACAGAUGGAUUUGAGCAUUCGCCAGGGUUUGCUGGAGAAGGCACUCCUACACUAGGUGUGAUGACGGAUGAGAUGGAAAUUCUUCUUUACUCAGAGGUUUACUGAGGACACAGAGCUUAUUAAUGAAAGAGACCUGUGGAUUAAAAUGCUGCAGAUAGGUCCCACAGUCCCUUUUGCAAGGAGCUGUAGCCAGCAGGGGCCCGCACUUUGGCAAGAAGUGAACAGAGUUCAAAUACCAGUGAGGCAAGAGCCGUGAAGCUGAAUGAGAGGGAAUGGGCAGCAUCAUGCCAGAAAGAUGGAAGUAGAUGUUAUCCAGUCCUCAGCGCUUGAACAGACUCGGGGCUCAGCUACUGUACACUCUGGUCUCCUUUCCCUCCACCAGUCCUCUACCAGGUAGAACUCCAGGCCAGCUCUUAAUUCGAGUUUGUUUGCUUAAGAUUCAAAAGUGGAUAAGUAAAAUAGACCAGUGGAAAAGAUAAGUCCAACAGAGAGGUUCCAGUGUGUGGAGAAACGUGGUCCAUCAAGGGCUCCUGAGACAAACCAUACACCUAACAGUAACUGAGAAUUGGUCUUCCCGACCAGACACAGUGGGAAAGAGGAAAACCUAGAAACGUGCUCUUCGUCAGUCUGCCCGCUGGGCUGGGAAGUCUGUACUAUCACAUAAAUAGGCACCAUCUCCUUGGAGUGGAUCCAGCUGUUGACUGUAACCAGAUUCACUCUUUGCUUACUAGAUUUUUCAUUAUCACCGUAAGAUGAACCUCUGGCUCAGCCACAGAUGUGAACAUAAGUGGAGUUGAUUGUCCAGAAAGUGAAAGAAGACUCUGACCUUUUCUGCUGGGUAUUUGUUACUGGAACACCAUGGCUGGGCUCUAGCUACUUUACGUAACUUCCCAGCAGAGCUUUACAUAACUUCCCUCAUCGUUAGUAAUAGUCUGCGGACUUUCUGUUGGGGGACUCUGCUGGGCUUCUUUUUGGAGCAUUUUAAAAUAUUUGGGCGUCCAUGCCUAUCUCAACCAGGACCAGACCUUAUGGCUUACUAGGGAGUAAUAAACGUUCACUGUCUCAGUUGGCAACGGUCUUGUUGACGAUAAAAGAGGGCCCGAGUUCCUUUAUCUGUUCAUUCCGACUGGGAUGGAGAACCCAAAUUUCUGCUCAGGUUUCCACUUGAGGAGGGGCCGGGCAUGCUGUCCCACAGCCACAUCCCACAUUGUAGCUUCUUAGACAAUAAAGAGCAUCCUCCUCAGCUGUCUGAGGGCUGCUGAGGAGCGAUGAGGAAAAGCAAGUCUCCCCGAAAGGUUCUCACAGACCAGGGACUCUGUUAUCAUCAGAGAUAUGUUCUUUCUGUGUGCUCGGUGGACACCUUUGACCCUGUUCCCUUCACUCGACAAAGGAAGCAGUCUUCUCGCAGGGUUUUACACAGAGGACAUUCUUCGACUUGGGAAGUGUCAGGCUCUUACAAGCAAAAGAUCCUCAAGUUAGGGCAACUUGGUGGGAGAUGGGAGUAGGGAGUGCUUGGGCCUUGUAAGGACAUGCCAUGUGGGUUAGUACAGCUUAAUGGCUUAAAGCAGGGACUAGAUUCAGACCUAGGUUCAAGUCCUGACAUCAUAAGAAGUAACAUAUUAUUUAGCCAUCCUAAGCCUAGUUUCCUUAUCUAUAAAAUAGAAUGGUGCUAUGUCUUGGAGGUGUCAGGGUUUGGGGGGAACCUGUGAAAGUGCUUAGCACAGGGCCUGGCACACGGAGGUGUCAGGGGGCAGCCAUCAGGAAAGGUGCAGGCCCAACCAGAGAGGGGAAGGUGCAGAGAACUGAGGUCGCUCUGCAAAAGCACGUGAUUGCUUGAUGACAGCUUUUGCCUUCCAUCUUUUGCUUCCAUUUAGCCUGUUCGUUUACUCUGCCUUUUCUGUAUCUCCCGGCUCCCAAAAGUUUGUGUGCGCCAUGACACCAGGUGGUUCUGAUUCUCUUGACUUUUCUUAGUUCACACUCUAACAUGUGGGAUUUGGCCCAGCUCCUCUUUCUAUACCAGGCCACAGAAGUCUCCAUCCAACCCUUGGACUGGCUGCCCUUGGGUUACAUGCGCAUCUUGGUUCAGUCAGCUGUAGUCAGGCAGGAAGGUCCCAGAUCCCAGGAUCUGUGGGCCUGGUAGACUGACAUGGGAAUGGGCAAACGGUGGCACAGUGGGGCAUUCCUAGUACUGCGAGGAGAGGAAAGACUCUGUUUCACCUGUAUCAGGCUUGCUUGAAAGGCUUCUACUUCAUCAGCACAUCCUAGACCAGAGCUCAUGGCCCCUGCGUAAAGGACCUGGAAGGUGCUGUUUCUGUAUCUUGCAAAAGAAGUAAUUUGUUACUUUCUAGGGUGUUAUUCCUCCUUUCUGUCCCAGCUCCACUUUCUUUUUAAAUAUGUAACUCUGGCCAUAAUUCUAUUUAUACACACAUACACAAUGACUUCUGUCAACUUGGUCAAAUUGCCUCUUCAAGACAAAACAUAAUUCUGCCCCUUAAGACCAACUGCCCACUGAAGAAUGCAGAGAGAUACAGUCAAAUCAGAGAGGCCUCAAAAGUACUGCGCUGCAAUGCUCUUAAAAUUGCCAGGUUACAUUUCAAAUAAAAUAUUUGGUAAAACCUC